RNAcentral lists this ribosomal RNA (646 nucleotides) under Vararia punctata. Its description in RNAcentral is "partial small subunit ribosomal RNA". It matches the Rfam family "Bacterial small subunit ribosomal RNA", at positions 376 to 938 of the family's 1533-position model. Lineage: Eukaryota; Fungi; Basidiomycota; Agaricomycetes; Russulales; Lachnocladiaceae. The record is from RNAcentral.
CGCAAGAGUGAACUAGCUAACUGAAAUCUUCUUUAUGUUUAAGGGCAUAAAGUUCACACUGUGAAUAAAAAGGAUAAGGUAGAGGAAAAUAAUGAUAUUACUUUACUAUAGUGUUGUCUAAAACUGGUGCCAGAAGACUCGGUAAGGCCAGAAACGCAAACGUUAGUCAUCUUUAUCAGGCGUAAAGGGUUAGUAGGCGGCUUUUAUCAUUAACCAAUAGUAAUUACUAUUGUGGUUACUAUAAAUAAUAAAAAUUUUAUUUUUUCUUCCCAGACAAAAUAGAAAAGGUUAAUACAACUAAAAGCUAGAAUCAAAUAGAGGUUAUGGAAUUUAAUAUUUGAAACAGGGCUUAUAUCCUUAGAAUUUAAAUAGAAAAUUAAUGGCGAAGGCUUUUUUUCCACUACUGAUUAUAGAUAUAUAAAUUUGUUUUAUAUAUUUGUAAAUUUGACGCUGAGUAACUAAGGGGAGGAUAGGAAAUAGGAUUAGAUACCCAGAUACCCCUCCCUGUCAACGAUGAAUGGUAAUUUCUAGUGAGAGAAAUCUCUAAACUGGUUUUAAUGUUAACACGUUAACCAUUCCGCCUUGUGAGUACGACUGCAAAGUUGAAAACAAAAAAAUUAGUCGGUUUCGGAGCAAACGAAGUGAA